Molecule: ribosomal RNA, 397 nt
Filed under: uncultured bacterium
Lineage: Bacteria
Description: partial 16S ribosomal RNA
Rfam family: Bacterial small subunit ribosomal RNA
Source: RNAcentral
AUACGUAGGUGACAAGCGUUAUCCGGAUUUACUGGGCGUAAAGGGCGUGUAGGCGGUCUUGCAAGUCAGAAGUGAAAUUCCUGAGAUCAACUCGGGCGCUGCUUCUGAAACUGCAGGACUUGAGUGCUGGAGGGGAUAGCGGAAUUCCUAGUGGAGCGGUAAAAUGCGCAGAUAUUAGGAAGAACACCGGUGGCGAAGGCGGCUAUCUGGACAGUAACUGACGCUGAGGCGCGAAAGCGUGGGGAGCAAACAGGAUUAGAUACCCUGGUAGUCCACGCUGUAAACGAUGAUUACUAGGUGUUGGGGACCUAUAGGUCUUCGGUGCCGCAGCAAACGCAAUAAGUAAUCCACCUGGGGAGUACGUUCGCAAGAAUGAAACUCAAAGGAAUUGGCGGGG